GUCGACUAUAGUCUCCCCUCUCUCGGGAUUUGUUUUGAGAGAAAGAGCGCUGUUUCUGUACAGCAAAAGAAAACAUGUGUGUAUAUUGAUUAUUUUGAAUGCGCUUGGAGAAAGUUCAAUUAUACUAUUUUCUUGCAAAAACGCGGACACAAUGUGACAAUGUUGACCAGCAGACUGGGUUAUCCAUGACGGAUUGGUAAAGAGCUGUUCAUUAAUCAAGGAAAACGGGACGUAGGAAUGGGGAAACCUCAGUCCAAACAUGCGGGCAAACGUAGAGAGAACCCCGAAGGAGACAGUUUUGUUGUGAACGCUUUCCUCCGAAGAGCGAUGGGGGAAUGUGAGAUGUACAGCUCCUCAGAUCACAAACUGAACAACAUGCAGGAGUUUCCACAUAGUGAGCUGAAGGGAGACAGCUCUUAGACCAUCACUGUCCCCUAGAGGGUAAGUAGAAGAAUACAUGUUUCUAUGUUUCAGACUGGUAAGAUAUGAGUAAAUGCUUUCAUAUGCAGAGCACAGAUCUGGCCCCGUCAUCCACAAAUCGUCUCAGAGUAGUAGCGCUGAUCUAGGAUCUGUCCAUAUAAUAUGAUCUAAAAGGCUAAACUGAUCCUAGGUUGCAAGUUUAAACCCCUGAGGUGACAAGGUACAAAUCUGUCGUUCUGCCCCUGAAUAGGCAGUUAACCCACUGUUCCUAGGCCGUCAUUGAAAAUAAGAAUUUGUUCUUAACUGACUUGCCUAGUUAAAUAAAGGUUAAAUUAAAUUAAAAUCAGCUCUAACAAUCACUGAUGCUGCACAGUUAUCUACACGACUUGUAUGUACAGCUAAAUAACAAUCUCUGAGUCCACAUUCUAUAUGAGCCCAUGAUGAAAAACCUAUUUCCUAACCUAUUUCCUAGUCCAAGUGGAUGUUGUAAAGUCUUCAACAUAGUCUCAUGUCUGUUAUGUCUCUGUG
Oncorhynchus gorbuscha (pink salmon) is the source of this 948-nucleotide long non-coding RNA. RefSeq lists it as uncharacterized. The record is from RefSeq and is a predicted model, not a curated record. Lineage: Eukaryota; Metazoa; Chordata; Actinopteri; Salmoniformes; Salmonidae. The transcript is spliced from 4 exons.